RNAcentral lists this ribosomal RNA (465 nucleotides) under Vreelandella stevensii. RNAcentral's name for it is "partial 16S ribosomal RNA". It matches the Rfam family "Bacterial small subunit ribosomal RNA", at positions 338 to 795 of the family's 1533-position model. The record is from RNAcentral. Lineage: Bacteria; Pseudomonadati; Pseudomonadota; Gammaproteobacteria; Oceanospirillales; Halomonadaceae.
CCUACGGGGGGCAGCAGUGGGGAAUAUAGGACAAUGGGGGGAACCCUGAUCCAGCCAUGCCGCGUGUGUGAAGAAGGCCCUCGGGUUGUAAAGCACUUUCAGUGAGGAAGAACGCCUGGUGGUUAAUACCCAUCAGGAAAGACAUCACUCACAGAAGAAGCACCGGCUAACUCCGUGCCAGCAGCCGCGGUAAUACGGAGGGUGCGAGCGUUAAUCGGAAUUACUGGGCGUAAAGCGCGCGUAGGUGGCUUGAUAAGCCGGUUGUGAAAGCCCCGGGCUCAACCUGGGAACGGCAUCCGGAACUGUCAAGCUAGAGUGCAGGAGAGGAAGGUAGAAUUCCCGGUGUAGCGGUGAAAUGCGUAGAGAUCGGGAGGAAUACCAGUGGCGAAGGCGGCCUUCUGGACUGACACUGACACUGAGGUGCGAAAGCGUGGGUAGCAAACAGGAUUAGAUACCCUUGUAGUC